GGAAAAGAAACCAACCGGGAUUGCCUUAGUAACGGCGAGUGAAGCGGCAAAAGCUCAAAUUUGAAAUCUGGUACCUUCGGUGCCCGAGUUGUAAUUUGGAGAGGGCAACUUUGGGGCCGUUCCUUGUCUAUGUUCCUUGGAACAGGACGUCAUAGAGGGUGAGAAUCCCGUGUGGCGAGGAGUGCGGUUCUUUGUAAAGUGCCUUCGAAGAGUCGAGUUGUUUGGGAAUGCAGCUCUAAGUGGGUGGUAAAUUCCAUCUAAAGCUAAAUAUUGGCGAGAGACCGAUAGCGAACAAGUACAGUGAUGGAAAGAUGAAAAGAACUUUGAAAAGAGAGUGAAAAAGUACGUGAAAUUGUUGAAAGGGAAGGGCAUUUGAUCAGACAUGGUGUUUUGUGCCCUCUGCUCCUUGUGGGUAGGGGAAUCUCGCAUUUCACUGGGCCAGCAUCAGUUUUGGUGGCAGGAUAAAUCCAUAGGAAUGUAGCUUGCCUCGGUAAGUAUUAUAGCCUGUGGGAAUACUGCCAGCUGGGACUGAGGACUGCGACGUAAGUCAAGGAUGCUGGCAUAAUGGUUAUAUGCCGCCCGUCUUGAAACACGGACCAAGGAGUCUAACGUCUAUGCGAGUGUUUGGGUGUAAAACCCAUACGCGUAAUGAAAGUGAACGUAGGUUGGGGCCUCGCAAGAGGUGCACAAUCGACCGAUCCUGAUGUCUUCGGAUGGAUUUGAGUAAGAGCAUAGCUGUUGGGACCCGAAAGAUGGUGAACU
This 762-nucleotide ribosomal RNA is filed under the name Saccharomyces cerevisiae (brewer's yeast). RNAcentral's name for it is "eukaryotic LSU rRNA". It matches the Rfam family "Eukaryotic large subunit ribosomal RNA", at positions 55 to 832 of the family's 3401-position model. Lineage: Eukaryota; Fungi; Ascomycota; Saccharomycetes; Saccharomycetales; Saccharomycetaceae. The record is from RNAcentral.